RNAcentral lists this ribosomal RNA (207 nucleotides) under uncultured bacterium. RNAcentral's name for it is "partial 16S ribosomal RNA". It matches the Rfam family "Bacterial small subunit ribosomal RNA", at positions 568 to 774 of the family's 1533-position model. The record is from RNAcentral.
CUCGUAGGCGGUUCGUCGCGUCCGGUGUGAAAGUCCAUCGCUUAACGGUGGAUCUGCGCCGGGUACGGGCGGGCUUGAGUGCGGUAGGGGAGACUGGAAUUCCCGGUGUAACGGUGGAAUGUGUAGAUAUCGGGAAGAACACCAAUGGCGAAGACAGGUCUCUGGGCCGUCACUGACGCUGAGGAGCGAAAGCGUGGGGAGCGAACA